UGGGGGAUAUUGCACAAUGGGGGAAACCCUGAUGCAGCGACGCCGCGUGGAGGAAGAAGGUUUUCGGAUUGUAAACUCCUGUCGUUAGGGACGAUAAUGACGGUACCUAACAAGAAAGCACCGGCUAACUACGUGCCAGCAGCCGCGGUAAAACGUAGGGUGCAAGCGUUGUCCGGAAUUACUGGGUGUAAAGGGAGCGCAGGCGGGAAGACAAGUUGGAAGUGAAAACCAUGGGCUCAACCCAUGAAUUGCUUUCAAAACUGCUGGCCUUGAGUAGUGCAGAGGUAGGUGGAAUUCCCGGUGUAGCGGUGGAAUGCGUAGAUAUCGGGAGGAACACCAGUGGCGAAGGCGACCUACUGGGCACCAACUGACGCUGAGGCUCGAAAGCAUGGGUAGCAAACAGGAUUAGAUACCCUGGUAGUCCAUGCCGUAAACGAUGAUUACUAGGUGUUGGAGGAUUGACCCCUUCAGUGCCGCAGUUAACACAAUAAGUAAUCCACCUGGGGAGUACGACCGCAAGGUUGAAACUCAAAGGAAUUGACGGGGGCCCGCACAAGCAGUGGAGUAUGUGGUUUAAUUCGAAGCAACGCGAAGAACCUUACCAGGUCUUGACAUCCGAUGCAUAGUGCAGAGAUGCAUGAAGUCCUUCGGGACAUCGAGACAGGUGGUGCAUGGUUGUCGUCAGCUCGUGUCGUGAGAUGUUGGGUUAAGUCCCGCAACGAGCGCAACCCUUAUUGCCAGUUACUACGCAAGAGGACUCUGGCGAGACUGCCGUUGACAAAACGGAGGAAGGUGGGGAUGACGUCAAAUCAUCAUGCCCUUUAUGACCUGGGCUACACACGUACUACAAUGGCCGUUAACAGAGGGAAGCAACACCGCGAGGUAGAGCAAAACCCUAAAAACGGUCCCAGUUCAGAUUGUAGGCUGCAACUCGCCUAUAUGAAGUUGGAAUUGCUAGUAAUCGCGGAUCAGCAUGCCGCGGUGAAUACGUUCCC
RNAcentral lists this ribosomal RNA (995 nucleotides) under uncultured bacterium. RNAcentral describes it as "bacterial SSU rRNA". It matches the Rfam family "Bacterial small subunit ribosomal RNA", at positions 355 to 1375 of the family's 1533-position model. The record is from RNAcentral.